CGGUAAUUCCAGCUCCAAUAGCGUAUAUUUAAGUUGUUGCAGUUAAAAAGCUCGUAGUCGGAUUUCGGCACACCUCGAUACUGUCUGCCAAAUGGUGUGUACGGUGUGGAGGGUGCUUCCUUCUAGUAAACCUCUCUGCUCUUUAUUGACGCGGAGAGCGUGCACUAGAUAUUUUACUUUGAAAAAAUUAGAGUGUUCAAAGCAGGCCUACGCUUCUGCAUAGCUUAGCAUGGAAUAAUAGAAUAGGACUCGGGUUCUAUUUUGUUGGUUUCUAGGACCAGAGUAAUGAUUAAUAGGGACAGUUGGGGGCAUUCAUAUUCCAUAGUCAGAGGUGAAAUUCUUGGAUUUACGGAAGAUGAACUUCUGCGAAAGCAUCUGCCAAGGAUGUUUUCAUUGAUCAAGAACGAAAGUUAGGGGAUCGAAGACGAUCAGAUACCGUCGUAGUCUUAACCAUAAACUAUGCCGACUAGGGAUCAGGAGGUGUUAUUUUUACGACCCUCUUGGCACCUUAUGAGAAAUCAAAGUCUUUGGGUUCCGGGGGGAGUAUGGUCGCAAGGCUGAAACUUAAAGGAAUUGACGGAAGGGCACCACCAGGAGUGGAGCCUGCGGCUUAAUUUGACUCAACACGGGAAAACUUACCAGGUCCAGACAUAGUUAGGAUUGACAGAUUGAGAGCUCUUUCUUGAUUCUAUGGGUGGUGGUGCAUGGCCGUUCUUAGUUGGUGGAGUGAUUUGUCAGGUUAAAUCCGAUACCGAACGAGACCUUAACAUAUUAAAUAGUAAGGGUAUCCUUUCGGAUGUUGCUUACAUAUUAGAGGGACUAGUGGAGUCUAACCAAUGGAAAUUCGAGACCAUAUCAGGUCUGUGAUGACAUUAGAUGUUCUGGGCUCCACGCGCGCUACACUGAUCCGCUGCAACGAGUUAUUUUCCCUCAACGAUAGGUGAGGGUAAUCUUCUGAACUCGCAUCGUGCAGGGGAUAGAUCAUUGCAAUUUUUAAUCUUGCAGGCGAGGAAUUGUAUACUAAGCUCGACUCAUCAGAUCGCGUUGAUUCCGUCCC
This 1057-nucleotide ribosomal RNA is filed under the name uncultured eukaryote. RNAcentral's name for it is "bacterial SSU rRNA". It matches the Rfam family "Eukaryotic small subunit ribosomal RNA", at positions 577 to 1653 of the family's 1831-position model. The record is from RNAcentral.